Molecule: ribosomal RNA, 539 nt
Filed under: uncultured bacterium
Lineage: Bacteria
Description: bacterial SSU rRNA
Rfam family: Bacterial small subunit ribosomal RNA
Source: RNAcentral
GAGGAAUAUUGGUCAAUGGGCGAGAGCCUGAACCAGCCAAGUAGCGUGCAGGAUGACGGCCCUCCGGGUUGUAAGCUGCUUUUAGUUGGGAAUAAAAAAAGGGACUUGUCCCUUCUUGUAUGUACCUUCAGAAAAAGGACCGGCUAAUUCCGUGCCAGCAGCCGCGGUAAUACGGAAGGUCCAGGCGUUAUCCGGAUUUAUUGGGUUUAAAGGGAGCGUAGGCGGAUUGUUAAGUCAGCGGUUAAAGGGUGUGGCUCAACCAUGCAUUGCCGUUGAAACUGGCGAUCUUGAGUGCAGACAGGGAUGCCGGAAUUCGUGGUGUAGCGGUGAGAUGCUUAGAUAUCACGAAGAACUCCGAUCGCGAAGGCAGGUGUCCGGGCUGCAACUGACGCUGAGGCUCGAAAGUGUGGGUAUCAAACAGGAUUAGAUACCCUGGUAGUCCACACAGUAAACGAUGUAUACUCGCGGUUUGCGAUAGACAGUAAGCCGCCAAGCGAAAGCAUUAAGUAUACCACCUGGGGAGUACGCCGGCAACGGUG